UAUACACAUGUGACACACGGACU
RNAcentral lists this non-coding RNA (23 nucleotides) under Arabidopsis thaliana (thale cress). Lineage: Eukaryota; Viridiplantae; Streptophyta; Magnoliopsida; Brassicales; Brassicaceae. The record is from RNAcentral.